AGACAAUUGCGCAUCGCGUCCCGCAGGCGUGGUGCGGCCAGCCUGGGUGGCAUAAAAGGCGCGGGAAGUCAGGUCCCGCUCUCACUCCCUCUCCCGACCAGGUCCAAGAUUCACGAAGCGGCUCCACGCUCAGCACCACGCCUCAUCGACACGUGGGCCAGUACCCUUACCACUUCUACGUUUUGUUUACUGUGUACACGGGAUUUCUCAAGCAAUCGGACUCCCUCUCCGCUACUAUGGUCCCACAACUGAUAUUCUCCGAUCCUUUGGGGCCUUCCACAUCCCAGGCCGGUACCGCAGGGGCCCCCUGCCCUACCCAGCAAACCCUAAGGGUAGGCGCAUGCCGUAGAGCGGUCUGUCGGUUUGGUGGCGAGAAGCCGGAUCACGCAGCAACUGCAACACGGAAGAGGGCUCGGGCGACGUCGCGUGAGGACAACAGCGCAGUGGGGUGAGGACGCAGCCGGCCUUCGCUUCGCCUCCCCCCCUCGGGGGCCUCCUCGGGCGGCUCUGAUGUGCACGGCGACCACACUUCCCAGAGGCCACUGCCGGCAAAGCGGCGGGUGGCACAGCGUCGCAGCCUCCACCUUUUUCGGCCGACGAUUGGACGACGCUGCAGGCGCCCAUCGCGCAGGCUCGGGGGCCCUCUCUUGUCACAAGCCUUCAGGGCAUGGGAACCACCGAGGACCCUGCCGCGGCUGCUACAGCCGCCCCUGCCCCCCUCCUUCACCGACCGUCGCCCACGGGCCAAGGCCAGGGGGCAUAAGUCGAGGCGAUGUGCGAGCUCCUCCAGUUUGUCCUCCUUCCUUCCUAGUUUUGUAGCGUAGUUGCUCUGCCUCCCUGAGGUUUCCCUCGCGGCCAGCGGGCACUCGCCCUUCGGGGGGGGGUCCGGCCUGCUGGCCUGCGGGGUGGGGGUGCAGCGCC
Procambarus clarkii (red swamp crayfish) is the source of this 921-nucleotide non-coding RNA. NCBI's taxonomy places the organism in Eukaryota, Metazoa, Arthropoda, Malacostraca, Decapoda, Cambaridae. The record is from RefSeq and is a predicted model, not a curated record.